GUGGCCACAGCCCGACAGCGUGACGGACGCCAGGUUGGGGCACCUGUGAGGAGAGUGCGGUGACCCGGGGCUCACUGGCCUGUUAAAGCUACCCAACCGCCCCAUGGGACCGAGUGGACUCAUUUACCGAGGAGGACUCGGGCCCUGCGAGGUCACUUCAUCCUGGCCCAGGUACUGCAGCUCCAAAUCGUGGGGAUUCUGUAAGAGCUUGCUACCUGUUGACUGAGGAGGCCCACGAGUCGAGCAAAAAGAAUGAUUCCUCAGCAGUCACUGUGAAAUUUUGUGGGCCACAAGUAUUGUGCACACAUGAUCCUUGAUUUAGAGUCAACCUGAUAUCCAUUACAGCUGUGGAAAGGCAGCAGGCAGUUGUGUCGCUCUUCACAAUAAGGAACACAUCUUGCUUUCAGCAUGUGAGAGGAACAAAAGCAUUGAUGUAAAUGUGCCUCAAAGUGAGAACUGAAAACAUUAACAUAAAAUAAAAAAGUCAAAUAAGACUAAGUUCUUACAA
Molecule: non-coding RNA, 508 nt
Filed under: Pan troglodytes (chimpanzee)
Lineage: Eukaryota; Metazoa; Chordata; Mammalia; Primates; Hominidae
Source: RNAcentral